GACGAACGCUGGCGGCGUGCUUAACACAUGCAAGUCGAACGGAAAGGCCCUGCUUUUGUGGGGUGCUCGAGUGGCGAACGGGUGAGUAACACGUGAGUAACCUGCCCUUGACUUUGGGAUAACUUCAGGGAACUGGGGCUAAUACCGGAUAGGAGCUCCUGCUGCAUGUUGUGGGAUGGAAAGUUUCGGCGGUUGUGGAUGGACUCGCGGCUUAUCAGCUUGUUGGUGGGGUAGUGGCUUACCAAGGCUUUGACGGGUAGCCGGCCUGAGAGGGUGACCGGCCACAUUGGGACUGCGAUACGGCCCAGAAUCCUACGGGAGGCAGCAGUGGGGAAUAUUGCACAAUGGGCGGAAGCCUGAUGCAGCAACGCCGCGUGCGGGAUGACGGCCUUCGGGUUGUAAACCGCUUUCGCCUGUGACGAAGCGUGAGUGACGGUAAUGGGUAAAGAAGCAACGGCUAACUACGUG
Molecule: ribosomal RNA, 468 nt
Filed under: uncultured bacterium
Lineage: Bacteria
Description: partial 16S ribosomal RNA
Rfam family: Bacterial small subunit ribosomal RNA
Source: RNAcentral